Long non-coding RNA from Aedes albopictus (Asian tiger mosquito), 1113 nucleotides. RefSeq lists it as uncharacterized. The transcript has 2 exons. The record is from RefSeq and is a predicted model, not a curated record. Lineage: Eukaryota; Metazoa; Arthropoda; Insecta; Diptera; Culicidae.
AUGACCAGUAAGAAGGCCAGUAAAAGAACUUAGAUCUAUUCUAGAAAGUUCUAAAAGUUUACGAGUGUUUGAAACGUCCGGUAUUAUGAAACGUUUCGACUGCCUCGCAAAAGUGGUGUUUUCCCAAUUGGAUUUUAGUUUCUCAUGUUCCCAUGUUUUAAACUCUAUUCUGAGAGAACAACCAGACACACCACAAAAUGGUUCUGGUCCUAUGAAUUGAUGAGACGAUCCAAGUCUUGCUAACAUAUCGGCUUGUUCGUUUCCUUCAAUUCCGCAGUGCCCAGGAACCCAAAAUAGCUUCACCUGAUUGCGGCAAGCUAAUUGUUGAAGUGAUUGAAUCAAGGAAUUGGCAUCCCUAUUCAAUCCAACGUAUUUUGAUCGUAGCCAACAUAUCGCCGGCUCAAGCAUCCCCAGCGCACGGCUCAAGCUGACAACGUCGACAGCUGUCAAUAUUUUUCUUUGUUUGUUGUUUUGUUAUUGUGGUUGGUUUGAACGGGUUUCUCCGUUUUUUGAGGAACUUAGGAAAUUAUUGAAAACUCCAAUGUUAAAUAUCGGAAAUAUUAUUACAAUGCACAUUUUCUUUUACGUAUCAUACUGAGGGAUGGUGCAGCGGGUGUUGAACUGGCUCUCAAUUGAGGAUAAGAAUGCCCAGUUUAUUACCUCGAAAUGCAAGGCAUAUGUGAAUUUCAGCCCAGUUGGAGGAUAGGGAGAAUAAGCCCUUUUUUGCACAGAACCAGUAGCUGCGUUAUUUAGUGAACGGUGAGGAUCCUGUGGCACUCUGCGGUUAGGAUCCUGUGGCAACUGCAGAGGGAAACUACAUAUUCACUGACAGACCAGACAGAUCCAGAUCAUCCAUAUAUUUUCUAUAAAAAGAGACGGGAUUAUGCGGUUUGUGAUGCAAAAUACCAUGCGAGCAAAUAGAGCGCAUUUAGCCCCCCAGCUGCAAUGUCGUGGUCGCUUGUCAUGCAUUGCAGACGGCGCGCACGACAUUGAAGAGGGGGCUCAAUGCGCUUUAUCUACUCGCAUUCGAAAUACUGUUGUGAAUUAACCCAAAUUACUCGUUGAAAGAUUUACUGUUUGGUGACAUUAAACAACCCAUAACAACACUCAAAA